Non-coding RNA from Schistosoma curassoni, 44 nucleotides. NCBI's taxonomy places the organism in Eukaryota, Metazoa, Platyhelminthes, Trematoda, Strigeidida, Schistosomatidae. The record is from Rfam.
CCCACCUGACGAGUUCCAUAUAGGACGAAACGCGCGUCUUGAAG